CAAAUAGCUCCUCAGGUCAGCUCUCUGUGUAUUAUGGCUGCUAAAGAAGGUAGCUGCAAAAAAUUUCAGAGACUUCUUUAAGGUGUAUUCUUUUAUCCCAGGCCCCCUGAUCGUUGAUAUUGCACUUUAAAGAUUUUUACAUUCUUUUGCAGGUGCUUCUAACAUGACACAACCUCAGGCAUUGGUGGAAAUUUCUCUUUUGAGGGGGUUCUGGCAGUCAUCUCUAUGUCAAGUUUUCAAACCGUACCCAGUUGUUCAGUAAGAUUUUUGAAAAGUAUGAACAAAGGCUUGCACAGCCUUCUGCAGACCAUGUCAAUCUUUAUUUCAUCCCUCACACAGAGGAGGAGCUCCUUGUGGAAAUGUCUCAGCUUCCUCUCCUGCAGCACCAGGGAGAUGUGGUAGUUCAAACCUUGAGAACACACAGUUUUUCACUCCUCCAAAUAAACUUCAGUUGACUCACCUUCUCCA
RNAcentral lists this long non-coding RNA (468 nucleotides) under Serinus canaria (Common canary). RNAcentral's name for it is "lncRNA (ENSSCAG00000009351.1)". The record is from RNAcentral. Lineage: Eukaryota; Metazoa; Chordata; Aves; Passeriformes; Fringillidae.